AUCUGUCCAUCAGCCCAGGUGUCCGUCUGUCUGCCAGCCCAGGUGUCCAGGUGUCCAUCUGUCUGUCUGUCCAUCAAUCCAGGUGUGCAGGUGUGCAUCAGCCCAGGUGUGCAUCAGCCCAUGUGUCCAUCUGUCCAUCAGCCCAGGUGUGCAUUGACCCGUCUGACCAUCUGUCCAGGUGUCCAUCAGCCCAGGUGUCCGUCUGUCCAUCAGCCCAGGUGUGCACCAGCCCAGGUGUCCGUCUGUCCAUCUGUCCAUCGGUCGGGACACCCUGGGCUCACUGUCACGGCCUGGCCACUCCACGCUGGGCUGGGCUGGGCCAUUUUGGGCCAUUUUGGGCCAUUUUGG
Molecule: long non-coding RNA, 348 nt
Organism: Haemorhous mexicanus (house finch)
Lineage: Eukaryota; Metazoa; Chordata; Aves; Passeriformes; Fringillidae
Exons: 3
Source: RefSeq, a predicted model, not a curated record